This 498-nucleotide ribosomal RNA is filed under the name uncultured bacterium. Its description in RNAcentral is "partial 16S ribosomal RNA". It matches the Rfam family "Bacterial small subunit ribosomal RNA", at positions 28 to 507 of the family's 1533-position model. The record is from RNAcentral.
GACGAACGCUGGCGGCGUGCCUAAUACAUGCAAGUCGAACGAGAGCAACCGGUGCUUGCACUGGUCAAUCUAGUGGCGAACGGGUGAGUAACACGUGGGUAACCUGCCCAUCAGAGGGGGAUAACAUCCGGAAACGGAUGCUAAAACCGCAUAGGUCUUCGAACCGCAUGGUUUGAAGAGGAAAAGAGGCGCAAGCUUCUGCUGAUGGAUGGACCCGCGGUGGAUUAGCUAGUUGGUGAGGUAACGGCUCACCAAGGCCGUGAUGCAUAGCCGACCUGAGAGGGUGAUCGGCCACAUUGGGACUGAGACACGGCCCAAACUCCUACGGGAGGCAGCAGUAGGGAAUCUUCCGCAAUGGACGCAAGUCUGACGGAGCAACGCCGCGUGAGUGAAGAAGGUUUUCGGAUCGUAAAACUCUGUUGUUAGAGAAGAACAAGUGCUAGAGUAACUGUUAGCGCCUUGACGGUAUCUAACCAGAAAGCCACGGCUAACUACGUG